RNAcentral lists this long non-coding RNA (204 nucleotides) under Physcomitrium patens. RNAcentral's name for it is "long non-coding RNA (PPAT_LNC014161)". The record is from RNAcentral. Lineage: Eukaryota; Viridiplantae; Streptophyta; Bryopsida; Funariales; Funariaceae.
CAUCAUUUCUUUACUUAUACAAAGUAUCAUCAAUCAUUGUAUACCGUGCUCUUUUCAAAAUUAAGCAUUUCUUAAGUUUUUUUCUAAACGUAGGUGAAAAUGUUUGAAAUGUCAAAAAUUGAAUUAUUUCACUAUACUCCAAUGAAAUCACAUCCACAAUAAAUAAAUCAGCAUCAAAAAGUACAUUAGGAACAAAUUCAAUGC